UACAGAGGUCUCAAGCGUUGUUCGGAUUCAUUGGGCGUAAAGGGUGCGUAGGCGGCGCGGUAAGUCGGGUGUGAAAUCUCGGGGCUUAACUCCGAAACUGCAUUCGAUACUGCCGUGCUUGAGGACUGGAGAGGAGACUGGAAUUUACGGUGUAGCGGUGAAAUGCGUAGAUAUCAGGAGGAACACCUGCGGUGUAGACGGCUUACUGGACCAUAACUGACGCUGAGGCACGAAAGCGUGGGUAGCAAACAGG
This 253-nucleotide ribosomal RNA is filed under the name uncultured bacterium. RNAcentral describes it as "partial 16S ribosomal RNA". It matches the Rfam family "Bacterial small subunit ribosomal RNA", at positions 524 to 776 of the family's 1533-position model. The record is from RNAcentral.